AGUAACGCGUAAAGAACUUGCCUCACAGUUAGGGACAACAUUUGGAAACGAAUGCUAAUACCUAAUAUUAUGAUAAUAGGGCAUCCUAUAAUUAUGAAAGCUGUAAGCGCUGUGAGAGAGCCUUGCGUCCCAUUAGCUAGUUGGAGAGGUAACGGCUCACCAAGGCGAUGAUGGGUAGCCGGCCUGAGAGGGUGAUCGGCCACAAGGGGACUGAGACACGGCCCUU
This 226-nucleotide ribosomal RNA is filed under the name uncultured bacterium. RNAcentral's name for it is "partial 16S ribosomal RNA". It matches the Rfam family "Bacterial small subunit ribosomal RNA", at positions 109 to 334 of the family's 1533-position model. The record is from RNAcentral.